Molecule: transfer RNA, 73 nt
Filed under: Marmota monax (woodchuck)
Lineage: Eukaryota; Metazoa; Chordata; Mammalia; Rodentia; Sciuridae
Description: tRNA.Ala
Source: RNAcentral
GCAGGUAUAGUUCAGUGGAAGAGUGGUUGCCUAGCAUGUUCCAGGCCCUAGGUUCAAUCCCUAGUCACCUUCC